GACGAACGCUGGCGGCGUGCCUAAUACAUGCAAGUCGAGCGGAACUGGGGGAGCUUGCUCCUUCCAGUUUAGCGGCGGACGGGUGAGUAACACGUGGGCAACCUGCCCUGCAGAUCGGGAUAACUCCGGGAAACCGGUGCUAAUACCGCAUAGUUUGGCGCCUCUCCUGAGGCGCCACGGAAAUACGGUUUCGGCUGUCACUGCGGGCUGGGCCCGCGGCGCAUUAGCUAGUUGGUGGGGUAACGGCCCACCAAGGCGACGAUGCGUAGCCGACCUGAGAGGGUGACCGGCCACACUGGGACUGAGACACGGCCCAGACUCCUACGGGAGGCAGCAGUAGGGAAUCUUCCGCAAUGGACGCAAGUCUGACGGAGCAACGCCGCGUGAGUGACGAAGGUUUUCGGAUCGUAAAACUCUGUUGUGAGGGAAGAACACGUACCAACUAACUAUUGGUACCUUGACGGUACCUCACCAGAAAGCCACGGCUAACUACGUGCCAGCCGCCGCGGUAA
Molecule: ribosomal RNA, 512 nt
Filed under: uncultured bacterium
Lineage: Bacteria
Description: partial 16S ribosomal RNA
Rfam family: Bacterial small subunit ribosomal RNA
Source: RNAcentral